Bos taurus (domestic cattle) is the source of this 56-nucleotide non-coding RNA. NCBI's taxonomy places the organism in Eukaryota, Metazoa, Chordata, Mammalia, Artiodactyla, Bovidae. The record is from Rfam.
UAGCUCAGAUGGUAAAGCUUCUGCCUGAAAUGCAGAAGACCUGGGUUCGAUCCCUG